UGGGGAAUUUUGGACAAUGGGCGAAAGCCUGAUCCAGCAAUGCCGCGUGUGUGAAGAAGGCCUUCGGGUUGUAAAGCACUUUUGUCCGGAAAGAAAUCCUUGGCUCUAAUACAGUCGGGGGAUGACGGUACCGGAAGAAUAAGCACCGGCUAACUACGUGCCAGCAGCCGCGGUAAUACGUAGGGUGCAAGCGUUAAUCGGAAUUACUGGGCGUAAAGCGUGCGCAGGCGGUUUGCUAAGACCGAUGUGAAAUCCCCGGGCUCAACCUGGGAACUGCAUUGGUGACUGGCAGGCUAGAGUAUGGCAGAGGGGGGUAGAAUUCCACGUGUAGCAGUGAAAUGCGUAGAGAUGUGGAGGAAUACCGAUGGCGAAGGCAGCCCCCUGGGCCAAUACUGACGCUCAUGCACGAAAGCGUGGGGGAGCAAACAGGAUUAGAUACCCUGGUAGUCCACGCCCUAAAACGAUGUCAGCUAGUUGUUGGGGAUUCAUUUCCUUAGUAACGUAGCUAACGCGUGAAGUUGACCGCCUGGGGAGUACGGUCGCAAGAUUAAAACUUAAAUGAAUUGACGGGGUCAUAGCUGUUUCCU
Molecule: ribosomal RNA, 587 nt
Filed under: uncultured bacterium
Lineage: Bacteria
Description: partial 16S ribosomal RNA
Rfam family: Bacterial small subunit ribosomal RNA
Source: RNAcentral